AUAAACCCUCCACUUGCACUUAGGGUAAUACUUACACAAUCCAAUGAUCUUGUUACUGUCAUUUUUCUUGUAACGGAAAACAAAAUUAUUCUCAAUGGCAUAAUCUCUCAAAUGGUCCCUGCAAGCAUAUAUAUCUACCCAUGUUUGUUCCACAUUCAAUACCAAUCUUUUUCCAUCAUUAUUAUAAUUUUCUUCAUCUUCCUCCAACUGACCUGUCCUCCUAAUAAAAUCCCCAUCUUCUCCUUCUAAGUUAAUACCAUCAUUAUUUUGUUGAUGUGAGGCACUUGUCCCCUCACGAGCAUUACUUGCUUGAGAAGCAUUUUUUUUUAUGGGAGGGAUUGGAGCAUCUACCUCUGGCUCAUCUUCUUCACUUUCAGAUUCAGAAAUGCAGUAUUCUUCAUCCGAAGCAUCAAGCUGGUCUAUAUCAAAUUUCUUGCCAAGCAAUUCUACAGUUAUAUGGUCAUCUUCAAAUUCUUUCCCUGCACAAUUAAUGAGAAAAGAAAGUUAGUCCCAUUUCACAAAUAUGCUUGGGGGGUUAAAUCAAAUACACUCAACAACACAUUUUUUCUACCUCCUUCCAAUGGAUUUCCUGGUUCUUCAGAAAAUACAUGUUCAUCCCCUACUCCUUGGUUUCCAGCAGUAGCUACAAUAAAAUUUCAUUAAGUUAAUAUCACUAUUGAUGCACAUGUAUUAGUUGGGAGGUUAAAUCAAAUACACUCAACAACACAUUUUUUCUACCUCCUUCCAAUGGAUUUCCUGGUUCUUCAGAAUAUACAUGUUCAUCCCCUACUCCUUGGUUUCCAGAAGUAGCUACAAUAAAAUUUCAUUAAGUUAAUAUCACUAUUGAUGCACAUGUAUUAGUUGGGGGGUUAAAUCAAAUACACUCAACAACACAUUUUUUCUACCUCCUUCCAAUGGAUUUCCUGGUUCUUCAGAAAAUACAUGUUCAUCCCCUACUCCUUGGUUUCCAGCA
Molecule: long non-coding RNA, 973 nt
Filed under: Aquilegia coerulea
Lineage: Eukaryota; Viridiplantae; Streptophyta; Magnoliopsida; Ranunculales; Ranunculaceae
Description: long non-coding RNA (ACOE_LNC002035)
Source: RNAcentral